GGGGACGUUACGGAUUCGACAGGGAUAGUUCGAGCUUAAGUUGCGAGUCGAGGGGAUCGGCCUCGUUAAAACGUCAACGCCUAUAACUGGCAAACAAAACAACAACCUAGCUUUCGCUGCUUAAUAACAGUCGAUAGCUGUUCCUCCCUCCAUGGCCCACGUGGUAGGGUAAGGGACUCACUCUAAGUGGGAUACGCCGGAAUCCACCGUCUGAGGAUGAAGGAAGAGACCAAUCAGACUAGCUGCUCUGCCGCCUGUCGAUAGGCUAAUGAGUUCGCGAAAUGCGAAUAUAUCGACUACACUCGUAGAAGCUUAAGUGCCGUUAUGUCUGGACGUGGGUUCAACUUCCCACCGUCUCCACCA
This 363-nucleotide transfer-messenger RNA is filed under the name Peribacillus frigoritolerans. It matches the Rfam family "transfer-messenger RNA". Rfam says of the family: Bacterial tmRNA, also known as 10Sa RNA or SsrA, is named for its dual tRNA and mRNA-like properties. Its role is to liberate the mRNA from a stalled ribosome. The record is from RNAcentral. Lineage: Bacteria; Bacillati; Bacillota; Bacilli; Caryophanales; Bacillaceae.